GCUUGAAAAGUCCUACUGGGUGCUGGAUAAGAGCACCAAAUUUGGAGCUAGAUUAUAAGCCCAGAUCCAUUGUUUACUAGAUGUGUGGCCCUGGAGAAAUCACUCCAACACUCUGUGCUGCCUUGUAGUAAUUAUUUUCCAAACGUCCAUGGUGCAACUUAGUCUUGAUGUGAUAAAAGCCAUUCACCACCAAUCCUACCAUCGGGACAAUAACUGGGGUGAAACAUCUCAAUUUCUAUACCCGAGCUCUUGUAAUUCUUCAUAAAGAAGGUUG
This 274-nucleotide long non-coding RNA is filed under the name Pan troglodytes (chimpanzee). Its description in RNAcentral is "long non-coding RNA NONPTRT001445". The record is from RNAcentral. Lineage: Eukaryota; Metazoa; Chordata; Mammalia; Primates; Hominidae.